This 499-nucleotide ribosomal RNA is filed under the name uncultured bacterium. RNAcentral's name for it is "partial 16S ribosomal RNA". It matches the Rfam family "Bacterial small subunit ribosomal RNA", at positions 28 to 507 of the family's 1533-position model. The record is from RNAcentral.
GACGAACGCUGGCGGCGUGCCUAAUACAUGCAAGUCGAGCGGACUUUCAAGAAGCUUGCUUUUUGAAAGUUAGCGGCGGACGGGUGAGUAACACGUGGGCAACCUGCCUGCAAGACGGGGAUAACUCCGGGAAACCGGGGCUAAUACCGGAUAAUAUCUUCCUUCGCAUGAAGGAAGGUUGAAAGGCGGCGCAAGCUGCCGCUUGCAGAUGGGCCCGCGGCGCAUUAGCUAGUUGGUGAGGUAACGGCUCACCAAGGCGACGAUGCGUAGCCGACCUGAGAGGGUGAUCGGCAACACUGGGACUGAGACACGGCCCAGACUCCUACGGGAGGCAGCAGUAGGGAAUCUUCCGCAAUGGACGAAAGUCUGACGGAGCAACGCCGCGUGAGCGAAGAAGGUCUUCGGAUCGUAAAGCUCUGUUGUCAGGGAAGAACAAGUACCGUUCGAACAGGGCGGUACCUUGACGGUACCUGACCAGAAAGCCACGGCUAACUACGUG